Molecule: ribosomal RNA, 508 nt
Filed under: uncultured bacterium
Lineage: Bacteria
Description: partial 16S ribosomal RNA
Rfam family: Bacterial small subunit ribosomal RNA
Source: RNAcentral
AUUGAACGCUGGCGGCAGGCCUAACACAUGCAAGUCGAGCGGCAGCGGGAAAGUAGCUUGCUACUUUUGCCGGUGAGCGGCGGACGGGUGAGUAAUGCCUGGGAAAUUGCCCAGUCGAGGGGGAUAACAGUUGGAAACGACUGCUAAUACCGCACACGCCCUACGGGGGAAAGCAGGGGACCUUCGGGCCUUGCGCGAUUGGAUAUGCCCAGGUGGGAUUAGCUAGUUGGUGAGGUAAUGGCUCACCAAGGCGACGAUCCCUAGCUGGUCUGAGAGGAUGAUCAGCCACACUGGAACUGAGACACGGUCCAGACUCCUACGGGAGGCAGCAGUGGGGAAUAUUGCACAAUGGGGGAAACCCUGAUGCAGCCAUGCCGCGUGUGUGAAGAAGGCCUUCGGGUUGUAAAGCACUUUCAGCGAGGAGGAAAGGUUGGCGCCUAAUACGUGUCAACUGUGACGUUACUCGCAGAAGAAGCACCGGCUAACUCCGUGCCAGCAGCCGCCGUAA